GCCUAUAAAAACAAAGAACUAAUUCGGAACAGCACGAUACGAUUAGAUUAACACCACAGAGUUUCAAUCGAAGUGGGGAUCUCCCGGAAAAUCUAGGAGUAGAAAGUUGAUUCUCUACUACUUGUAGAGAUAGGAAGAUUCGAAAGUGCGGCAGAAGAAGCCUAGUUGUACAUAAAACUGCUGUUUGAAAACUAGGUCAUUGGGUUGAUAACAUUCAAUGUUUUUAAAUAAUAUUACCCAGCAAGAAUAUAUUAAAUAUCUGCAUUGUAUCAAGCUAAUAUACCCCAUCUGGUUUGCAGUAGUCGAAUGAAAAUUUGAUUAAAACGAUGACAGUUUAAAGAGUUUUCCACGCCUCAAUGAAUUUACGUAAUUUCCAGAUAUUAUGAAUAACUGCGGUUCGUUCAGAAAUAAGUAUGAGCAACGAGCAUGCCACCCCCAGAUACGAGCCCUCACGUCCACGUACAACAUAGUCUACCCAUUCGUACUCGCCAGAAAGCUGCAGAUACGCUCGGUUAUAGUCAAUAGGUAUAUAUGUAUAGGUGUGAGCCACGUGCGUAUGGCUUUAUCUUUUGCGUAAACUGAACCCACACCGAGGAAAUGUUGGUGCCAGUUGGAAAAAAACAAGAAUUAUGGCGCAAAUUUGCUGAUAACGCUCCACAUUCCACUACACGUAUGUAUCUUGGCUCGGAAAAGAGGAGCCAACCCAGUACCCAAAACGUUCCUCCGUCCCUUUCCCGGGUGCCAUGUGUUCUGGAAUACGAAUAAAAAGUGAAUAUCGCCCAGCGAGUUGAAUAAAUAUUUGCCAUACACGAAUGCUGUGCAAAGAAUGCCAUUUUAAUAUUGAAUAUUUGCUCGUAAACUUCGUUGGGAACGUGAAAACGCCCCCAUGCUCCAUAUGUACGUCCCAGGGCACAGUCUCAUACAUACAUACAUAUGUAUGUAUAAACGUUUUUCGAUAUUGCCAUGAGAUAAGGCCUAUGACCGAAAAUACCAUUAAAAAACAAACUAAAAGCCACGGGCCCCGGGGAAUUCGGAACUUUGCCUUCUCAUAUAUCAAAAUUCUUGGUGCUGAAGAAUACUCUGGCUUGUUUGGCCUACAAAAACAACCAGAGUCAAUUUGUAAUGUAUUUCAUAAUACUCCCAUCUAGCAAACAACAAUAUUUGUUUGUCUGCAUGAGCAUAAAUUUAGUUCACCCUUCAGUUAUUGCAGAAGACCUGUUCCUAAUGGAAAUUCGUCUUAUGUUUAUACAGAAAACAACGAGUCAAGGUCUCGCCGUUUCAGUACAAUAAAAUAGUGUUCCUGGAAUUGGCGAUUAAGUGUUUGCUUUUACAUACCCAUGCAAUAUGCAUAAGUGCUUGGCUGACUUUCGGUUGGUAAUGCCGAAUGGAAUGAAACCGAAAAUGAUCAAAUCACGCAUUCGCAGGCAUCUGAAACAUACGUUUUCCAAAAAUAAAGAUCGCAUAAUAAAUCAAUGAUUGGAUCAAUCAAAAUGCUCCACAUGGGUGUGGAAUGAAGAGACCCCACCCAAAAGUUCCCGAAAGCGGGAAGUCGAUUUGCCAUUUCAAUUGAUUUCGUUUAAUUUACCAUUUAUUAUGUGUUUGUUUUUUUGGCGGCUGUUUAAUGGCGAUUUUUGUGUCUCUAUGGAAAUUUAA
Long non-coding RNA from Drosophila sechellia, 1653 nucleotides. RefSeq lists it as uncharacterized. NCBI's taxonomy places the organism in Eukaryota, Metazoa, Arthropoda, Insecta, Diptera, Drosophilidae. The record is from RefSeq and is a predicted model, not a curated record. The transcript is spliced from 3 exons.